ACUUCAUCCACCUUUGAGAGGAGAGAAAAAAGGCGGGCCUUUCUCUCUCGCUUCUCUCUCUACAAGGCCAAGACUGAUGGGGCGCCUGAGUGGGACGCCCGACUCGGGACCAUUCCGGAACAAAACGGGAGCUGAUGGGAUCUCCCCCAUUGUGACCCAAGCGUGUUCAUGCCCUCUCCGAAAUGGGACUGGUUUGGUGCGGGAGGAUGGGCAGGGACGGGGGAGGUGAUGACCGGCAGAGGAGGCCUGGGCAAGGGAGAGGAGCCACUUUUCUCCAGGGUCCAGCCCCGCGGGAAGGACACUGCCUCACCCCCGGGACCCGGGGAUUUCCAUCAGCCCCUGCUUCCGCUCAGGAGGGAUUGGACCUGCAGCAGCGCGAGGACUUCUCGACUCUUAGAUCUUCAGGAAGGUCAGCGCCGUGACUUCUGGCACUGCUGGUCCGGGCCGCCAAGAGCCUGA
RNAcentral lists this long non-coding RNA (459 nucleotides) under Ornithorhynchus anatinus (platypus). Its description in RNAcentral is "lncRNA (ENSOANG00000042463.1)". Lineage: Eukaryota; Metazoa; Chordata; Mammalia; Monotremata; Ornithorhynchidae. The record is from RNAcentral.